Molecule: non-coding RNA, 91 nt
Organism: Kwoniella bestiolae CBS 10118
Lineage: Eukaryota; Fungi; Basidiomycota; Tremellomycetes; Tremellales; Cryptococcaceae
Source: the annotation of a GenBank genome assembly
GUUCGUGUGUUGCAGUGGUUUCAGCAGACCUGUUUCCGGUUGUAAGACCGAACACCGCAGGAGGUCCUGGGUUCGACUCCCAGCUCGAACU